GAGCAUUGGACCUCAAGCUCCUGCACUGCCCGUCCUGGUCCAUAAGACGGUCUGGGCGCGUCGUCCUAGUGCAUCGGAAUAACUGGCGAGGUGGGAUGGGACGGCCCGGAGCACACCACGGUGCAAUGUGUGGCAUGGAUGGUGGGCACCGAGGUACGCAUCUACGUACGGUGUCGAGAGCGCCGGGGGCAUUACGCACACGUCUUGGGUAGGGGGCAACCAGGUGCGCGUCAAGGCACUACGCAUCACCACACGCACGAUUGAAAGCAGCGGGGCUCGAGGGCCGGUGAGAUGCCCGAGUAAAGCACACCAACGCACCAUGGAUCGAGGGCGCUUGGGCACACGGUGUCACGAGAGCCCACUGGUAGGCGAGAAAGGCAGACUCAAGCAGUAUGCCAGGUGAGCAUCUAUCUGGUAAACUAGACACAGCGCCAGAAGUGCCUACAAGCUGAACGAGCUGGAAGCACCCACGCAGUAAGGGUAGGCACACCCACACUGAAAGGGUUGAUGGCAGAGUGGUGAGCACAGCGGUGUGCGCCUAAGCACAGCGCAUGGAGUGUCCACGAGUCAUCCAAGGAAAAGCACACCCAAGCAGUAUGAGCCUGGAGGGAAACGAGUAGCGCGCCUAGGCACCGCGCUGUGAGUGCCUACGGGUUGAACGAGCUGGGCACAACCACGUGGCAUGGGUGGCGAGCACCGAGGUGUGUGACUAGGCAGCACACAUCGAUGGUCUACGGGUCAGCCAAAGCAGGCCACACCAACGCGUUGGCAGCACGCCUUGCCCAAAUCACGUACCUCAGCCUCGUCCCAACCUUGUGCCCAACCUUCCCAAUUAUGUUUCAUGGCUUAAAACACCUGACAUUCCUGAGUCACACUUGUUGGGGGUCAAACUAGCAUACAUUUGGCCUCAUCACGACCCAUACCACCUAAGUACACAAUGUUGCAUCCUUGGGUGCCUCACCACCACACGAAAGGUUGAAGGCACGGAGCCUCGAAGGCUGGUGGGAUGAACGAGCAAUGCAAACCCACGCAGCAUACGUUGAGGGCUCCAUGGUGUGCAUCUAGGCACACGGUGCCACGAUGGCCUACGCCUAGCCCGAGAAAGGCAAACCCGCACAGUUUGACUGGUGGACACCGAGGUGUGCACCUAGGUACACGGCAUCGUGAAGCCCUGCAGGUCGUCGAGAUAGGGACACCCAAAAUGUAUGCCUGGUGUGCUCGAAGGUGGGUGCCUAGGCACAACGAAACAAGGGCCUCCAAGUUGCCCGAGCUGGGAACACCCGCGCGGUAUGGGUGGUGAGCACUAAGCUGUGCGCCUAGGCACAUUGCAUCAACAGUCCACAAGUCAGCCGAGGUGAGGCACACCCAUGCAGCAUGCGUGGUGAGCACUAAGUUAUGGGCCUUGGCACAAUGCAUCGACGGACCACAAGUCAGCCGAGGUAAGGCACACCAUUGGAGUACGGGUUGAGAGCUCCGCGGUGUGCGCUUAUGACCACGGCGCCGCGGAGGCGUGAAGGUUGCCCCAUCAAGGCACACCCAUGCAGUUUGCAAGGUGGGCACCGAGGUAUGCGCCUAGGCAAACGGGGUCGCGAAGGAGAACGGGCUGACAGGCUAGGCACACCCACACUGUAUGCCAGGUGGGCACCGAGGUGUGUUCCUAGGCCCACGGUGGGAUGAAGGCCAACGGGUUGCCUGAGCUAGGAACACCCGCCAGGAACGCCAGGUGGGCACCGAGGUGUGCGUCUUGGAACAGCGCAUCUAGGGUCCACAGGUCAGCCCGAGCAAGGCAACCCCACGCAGUAUGGGUUGAGAGCUUCGUUGUGUGCGCCUAGGCACACGGCGACGUGAUGGCUUGCGGGUUGCCCGAGCAAGGCAAAACCAUGCAGUUUGCCUGGUGGCUAGCGAGGUGUGCUCCUCGGCACGUGGCGUGAAGCUGUGCGACUUGACUGAGCGCAUUGAGGGUCCACGGGUAAGCCAGAGAAGGCAACACCCACGCUUUGGCAGCAUGCCUAGCACAAAUAACAUACCUUUGCCUCGUCCCAACCUGUUGCCCACCCUUCUCAAUUAUGUUUCAUGGCUUAAAACGCCUGACAUUCCUGAGUGAAACCUGUUGGGGGUUAAACUAGCAUACAUUUGGCCUCCUCACGACCCAUACCACCUCAGUGCACAUUGUUGCAUCCUAGGGUGCAUCACCACCAAACGCAAGGUUGAAGGUAAGGAACCUCGAGGGACGGUGGGAUGAACGAGCUAGGAAAACCCACGCAGCAUGGGUUGUGGGCUCCAUGGUGUGCAUCAAGGCACACGGUGCCACGAUGGCCAACGCGUAGCCCGAGCAAGGCACACCUGCACAGUUUGCUUGGUGGGCAACGAGGUGUGCACCUAGGUACACGGCAUCGCGAGGGCUUACUGGUCGCCGAGCUAGGGACAUCCAAGCUGCAUGCCUAGUGUGCAACAAGGUGUGUGCCUUGGCACAAUGCAACAACGGCCUUCGGCUUGCCCGAGGUGCGAACACUCGCAUGGUAUGGGUGGUGAGUACUAAGCUGUGCGCCUAGGCACAAUGCAUAGACGGUCCACAAGUUAGCUGAGGAGGCACACCCAUGCAGUAUGCGUGGUGAGCACUAAGCUGUGUGCCUCGGCACAAUGCAUCGAGGGACCACAAGUCAGCCGGGGUAAGGCAGACCAUUGCAGUAUGGGUUUGGAGCUCCGCGGUGUGUGCCAAGGCACACGGCGCCGCGGAGGCAUACGGGUUGCCCCAUCAAGGCACACCCAGGCAUUUUGCAAGGUGGCGACCGAGGUGUGCGCCUAGGCAAACGGCGUCACGAAGGCACACCCAAGCAGUAUGCGCUUAGGGGAAAACGAGUAGCGCGCCUAGGCACCGCGCGCUGAGUGUCUACGGGUUGCACGAGCUGGACACAACAACUUGUUAUGGGUGGCGAGCAGCGAGGUGUGAGACUAGGUAGAGCACAUUGAUGGCCUACAGGUCAGCCAAAGCAGGCCACACCGACGCAUUGGCAGCACGCCUUGCCCAAAUCACGUACCUCACCCUCAUCCCCACCUGUUUCCCAACCUUCCCAUAUAUGUUUCAUGGCUUAAAACACGUAACAUUCUUGAGUAACACCUGUUGGGGGUCAAACUAGCAUACACCGACGCAGUUUUCAAGGUGGCCACCGAGGUGUGCAUCUAGGCAAACUGCGUCACUAAGGAGCACGGGCUGACCUGUUAGGCAAUCCCACGCAGUAUGCCUGGUGGGCACUGAGGUGAGUGCCUAGGCCCACGGUGGGAUGAAGGCCAACAGGUUGCCUGAGCUGGGAACACCCGCGAGGUAUGCCAGGUGGGCACUGAGGUGUGCGCCAAGGAACAGCGCAUCUAGGGUCCACAGGUCAGCCAGAGCAAGGCAACCCAACGCAGUAUGAGUUGAGGGCUUCAUCGUGUGCGCCUAGGCACACGACGACGUGAUGGCUUGCGGGUUGCUCGAGCAAGGCGCAACCACGCAGUUUGCCUGGUGGGCAGCUAGGUGUG
This 3519-nucleotide long non-coding RNA is filed under the name Amborella trichopoda. RNAcentral's name for it is "long non-coding RNA (ATRI_LNC001387)". The record is from RNAcentral. Lineage: Eukaryota; Viridiplantae; Streptophyta; Magnoliopsida; Amborellales; Amborellaceae.